Sphaeramia orbicularis (orbiculate cardinalfish) is the source of this 93-nucleotide long non-coding RNA. RefSeq lists it as uncharacterized. The transcript is spliced from 3 exons. The record is from RefSeq and is a predicted model, not a curated record. NCBI's taxonomy places the organism in Eukaryota, Metazoa, Chordata, Actinopteri, Kurtiformes, Apogonidae.
UCAUGUAACUAAUGUUACCCAUAUAGAGGUGAAUUAAAUGAGGCAAAAAACCCCAACUUCAAUAUCUACUUUUCAUUUUCUAAUGAUUUCAAA